UCUGGUUGCCGAAGUGGCAUUUAGCAAC
Molecule: small RNA, 28 nt
Filed under: Bombyx mori (domestic silkworm)
Lineage: Eukaryota; Metazoa; Arthropoda; Insecta; Lepidoptera; Bombycidae
Description: ovarian small RNA-30013
Source: RNAcentral